Molecule: ribosomal RNA, 403 nt
Filed under: uncultured bacterium
Lineage: Bacteria
Description: bacterial SSU rRNA
Rfam family: Bacterial small subunit ribosomal RNA
Source: RNAcentral
GAGGGAUAUUGCACAAUGGGCGAAAGCCUGAUGCAGCGACGCCGCGUGAGGGAUGACGGUCUUCGGAUUGUAAACCUCUGUCCUUGGUGAAGAAGAAAGUGACGGUAGCCAAGGAGGAAGCCACGGCUAACUACGUGCCAGCAGCCGCGGUAAUACGUAGGUGGCAAGCGUUGUCCGGAAUUACUGGGUGUAAAGGGAGCGCAGGCGGGCUUGUAAGUCAGCUGUGAAAUUCAAGGGCUUAACCCUUGACAUGCAGUUGAAACUACAGGUCUUGAGUGAAGUAGAGGUAGGCGGAAUUCCGAGUGUAGCGGUAAAAUGCGUAGAUAUUCGGAGGAACACCGGUGGCGAAGGCGGCCUACUGGGCUUUUACUGACGCUGAGGCUCGAAAGUGUGGGGAGCAAAC